This 15752-nucleotide long non-coding RNA is filed under the name Lactuca sativa (garden lettuce). RNAcentral describes it as "long non-coding RNA (LSAT_LNC003680)". The record is from RNAcentral. Lineage: Eukaryota; Viridiplantae; Streptophyta; Magnoliopsida; Asterales; Asteraceae.
UCAAAAAUGACUCACAACCUCAAAAAAGGCAUUAGGGUUUCGAGAUUUAGGGUUUGGGACUUGGAGGUUGUAAAUGAGACCAGCCUAUGGAAGUUUAGGUGUUUAAAUAGGGUGCAAAACCCUGAAAAUUAGGGUUUCACUCUGCCAGUCCUACUCGUCGAGUUGAUGCUCUCAACUCGUCGAGUAGACUUUACAACCUGCAUUCAAUUUCAUUCCUACUCGACGAGUUUGGGGCCUCCAACUCGUCGAGUUUCUAUACAAAAGGGAAUAAGUUUUAAAUUAAAUACAUACCAGGAACCAGGCGUUACACACACAGAGAGAGAGAGAGAGACAUAGAGAGAGAUAGGUUCAAAUAUUCUAACUGAUUAUUGUGUUGAUGUAGGAAUGAUUGUGGGUCAAUCAUUCCAAAAGGGUAUUUUGUGACAACCCGAAAUUUCUUUCUUGUACAAGAGACCCUUUGAAGCCUCUUUAACGUGUGUAUACUUGUUAUACCUGGGUAUAUGUUAAGAACACUUGAUGAUGUGCUUGAAAAACUCGAGUUCAUCAUCUUCAUGAAGGGUGUGCGGCCGCACACCUUCAUAGUGGCCGCACACACCCUUUUUAGGUCCCAAAAUGGCAAUAAACUCCAUAUAAGGCUAGAGCAUGAAGUGAGAAACCUUCCUGGAUGAGUUCUAAGGCCUUGAAAUACGUUUUAACACACUUCAUAGGGAAUGUACGGCCGCACACAAAUCCUGGCCGUACACACACUAAACCUUUGGUUUUGUGGCCUUACACUUUAAUAUAGGACCAUACACCCCUUAUGUGCAACCAUAUGUGUUGGUAACACUUAGUUCUAAGUGUUUUUACGUCCCUAAGGCAUGUCCCUAUCACCAUUAGUGGUUAUAUACAUUAAAUGUAUUCAUAUAUGUGUAAUUAUAUGUCAAUAGGAUUCGUUUGUGCUCACGACACCAAUUGACACCCAACAAUCCUAUAUCGAUCUUUCAUUCGAGUUACUCACAAUAGGUGAGUUCAUACCCCUUAAUUAACCUUUUAAAUGUUUUUAAAUGUUUAUAAAUGCUUUUAUGGGGGGGGGGGGANGUUUAUAAAUGGUUUUAUGGGGGGGGGUGGAAUACAAGUUGAAUCAUGCUAGUUAGUACAUCAAUCACAUGUGAUUAAUAACUAGCAUACAAAUUGAUUUACUACACUUUUAGCUGUUUAUUCAGUAUACCACUUCCAAGUGACUUACCAAAACGUUUUUACAUGUUAAAACUCUUUAUUAAACUGUCUUACAUACUUUAUGUUUCCUUUCAAACUAUGUUACAAUUGUGUUUCAAACAAAUCUUUUUCUUAUACUUAAAACUGUUUUAUCAAACAAACAACUUUCAAAUCGUUUUAUAAACUGACAUCAAGUCAUCAAUUCUUAUUUAUUAAACUUUUCAAAGGUUUUAUAGAACUUCUUUUAUACCUUUAUAUUGGCAAUUGCAUGCCUAUAUAUGUAUGGUUAUAUAAGUAAUGUUUAAAGGACUUAGGACUACUAGCUUGCUUUAAUUCCUUUUCCUUGUUUGGAUGUGGCCUUAGGGUAUCGGUUAUCUGUCCGAAUGUAUUCUAAAUAUUAGUUAUAUAUUAUGUAUACAUAUAUAGACAUAAAAGUUCCUACAGUCAAUUCAAUACCUUUGGGUAGUAAAGGCAUACUUCGUUUAUACACGUACAUUACUAGUAACUAUAAUGGGUAUAGUUAGGAGAUACUACUUACUAUUCCAAGUACAAAGAAUCACACAAGAGUCAGUUCAUUCAUGAGUCUAUACUAAUACAUUACAUACUAUAUGAAGAGAUACAAUUACAGAAAUACUAAUACAUUACAUACUAUAUGAAGAGAUACAAUUACAGAAAUACUAAUACAUUACAUAUUAUUGAUGGGUUUUGAGCAUGCUAACACUUCCUAAUUGUACAUGCAACCCUAAUAACUUUGGAUCUAUGUUUGUCUAAUUAUCAUGCAAAGUUGAUUUCCAAGGCUAUGAUCCUAUCUAGCAUACAUGGGGAACAAUUUUAACUUGAAUAAAAGAUAGAACUACAUACCUUGUUGUUGAUUUUGAUCCUUGAAACCUUGUGAGCCUAGCACCCCAAGUGUGAUGCCUCAAAUGCUUCACACAACACCAAAUGCUAUGGAGUAAACUUGGAGAGAAAGUAUAACACUCUAAAAAUCGGCUCUAGCCCUCAAGCAUGCAUGUGUAGCCGAUUUUGGGAGAAACAUGAGUUUUAUAUAGUGUUGUUGACACAUCUAGGGUUACACCAUGUAAACCCUAAUGUGUCAUGACUCUUCAUUUCCAUGACCCAUGGGUUUGUAACUCCCAUGGAGCAUCCAUGGAGCAUCCUAUGGGUAGAACCCAACUUGAUAAUCCAUGGAGCCUCUUAGCCCACUAUACAAGAUAUGGAUGAUUUACAUAAUCAACCCAUAUAUUUAAUUAGUUAUCCUUUGAUCACUUAAUUAAUUCCAAAUUAAUUCUUUGAUCAACUAAUCAAAUAAUAUUAUUAAUAUAUUAGAACUUAUAAUAUAUUAAUAAUCUCCAAGUGUUAUUUCUCUCAUUUAGUCUAUCCAAUUGCAUGGUGCCAUGCAACCCAAAUGGACCAUGCCGGGUCGGGUCAAGUACAAGCCCGAAAUAGUUAUGGACUUAGACACCUUAUCCAACAGUCUCCCACUUGGAUAAGUCUAAUAACUAUAUCUCUAGUACUUCAGGAACCGACCGGCAAUCGUAGCUCUUUCAAGGUCUCUCGGAACUGAGAAGAUGAUGGUACGCCAUUUAAGAUAAGUGAUCAUAUAAUCCUCCGUUCUAGAUAUCAGCCGGACAAAUACAUGGAACAUUGUCUUGCUUAUUGUCCAGCAUUUGUUUCCCGAUUUCCGAUUUGUUUGACAUAGAACUUAAUUGAACACAUCAACUUAGUUCUGACCGGGCCCGGUACAUGGGUCAAAACAAAAUCAUCGAGGGGCCCAGAUAUCAGCUUCUAAUCCAAGAAGGAACAGAUAAACUUCGACUCAUAUGUUUGUUCUACCACUCAUUGAAUUACACACAAAAGUACGUUUUAUAACAUCGAGUUACCAAUGCGGUUUCGUACAGUCAAUGCAUAACCAACUUGUAAGUAACAAAUCAUAUCUCUAGGUUUGAAGACUUAUAUGAUAUUACCGUCUCACGAUCACUCGAGAUAGAAUUCCAUGAAGUGAUUCCAGUGAGCGUGGGUUGAGUCCAAUGCUCAGAACUUAUGAGCACUCAUGAUUGUUGUAGCCUUGUCCAACACCUUAGACCUCUACAACCCAUCAUGACAGUCUUGAUUCAUACCUACUUCCGACAUAUGACCGACUGUGGAGGUUUGAAUAAUAUGUUACACCAAACAAAAUUAUUCUGGAAGUCAAAACAUGCAAAAGAAAUAUAGUAAACGAUUGACAAGAGAUAGCAACACUUUACUCAUAAAUAAAACACCUUUUAUUCAUCAUCAAAUGUCAAUUACACUUUACAAAUUUCUGGGUUAUCUAACUACUAAAACUUAUAUCAUCCUUCAGCCCUAUGCUCCGAGCAUGCUGGAGAUGCUUAACCCUACUCAGUCCCUUCGUGAGGGGAUCUGCUGGGUUCUCAUCCGAUGAUACCCUCUUUGCCACGAGGAGUCCUUCUUCGAUCCGAUGUCUAAUGAAAUGGUAUUUUCUGUCGAUGUGUCUGGAUCUCCCAUGAUCCCUUGGUUCCUUGGCUAAGGCAACAGCACUUUCACUAUCACAGAAAAUUUCCAUUGGCUCUUUAAUAGCUGGUACAACUCCAAGGUCUCCAAUGAAGUUCUUCAGCCAUAUCGCCUCCUUUGCUGCUUCGCUAGCUGCAAUAUACUCUGAUUCACAAGUAGAAUCUGCCACUGUCUCUUGCUUGGAACUCUUCCAAGAAAUUGCUCCUCCGUUUAGGGUAAAGACCCAGCCCGACUGAGAGCGGAAAUUAUCCCUAUCAGUCUGGAAGCUAGCAUCACUAUACCCUACAACUCUCAAGUCAUCACUCCCACCGAGGGUAAGGACCCAGUCCUUAGUCCUCCGUAGGUACUUGAGGAUAUUCUUUACCGCAGUCCAGUGUGCCUUGCCAGGGUUCGCCUGAUACCUGCUAACCAUGCUCAAGGCAAAAGCUACAUCGGGUCGAGUACACGUCAUAGCAUACAUGAUCGAUCCUACAGCCGAAGCGUAAGGUGUUCGACUCAUUUCUGCUAUCUCAGCCUCAGUGCUAGGGCUUUGUGUCUUACUCAAUCUGGUGUUACUCUGGAUGGGUAACUCUCCUUUCUUGGAAUCCUGCAUGCUGAAUCUCUUCAGCACCUUAUCCAAGUAGGUACUCUGACUAAGUCCAAUUAGUCUUUUACUCCGAUCUCUCAAGAUUCUUAUCCCUAGAAUAUAGGCAGCUUCACCAAGGUCCUUCAUAGCGAAACACUUCCCAAGCCAGGACUUUACUUCCUGCAGGGUUGGAAUGUCGUUUCCUAUGAGUAGUAUGUCAUCCACAUACAAUACCAAAAAGCUAACUAUACUCCCACUAGCCUUGACAUACACACAAGAUUCAUCUUCACUCCUAGAAAAGCCAAAUUCCUUGACCUUUUCAUCAAAGCAAAGAUUCCAUCUGCGAGGUGCUUGCUUCAAUCCAUAAAUGGAUUUCUCAAGCUUACACACUCUAUUAGGGUACUCGUUGCUGACAAAACCCUCUGGCUGACUCAUGUAAACAUCUUCAGCCAACUUUCCAUUAAGGAAAGCGGUUUUGACAUCCAUCUGCCAUAUUUCAUAGUCAUGAAAUGCAGCUAUGGCUAACAGAACCCGAAUAGACUUAAUCUUGGCUACCGGAGAAAAGGUCUCAUCAUAAUCCACUCCAGGAAUUUGAGAGAAGCCCUUUGCAACCAGUCUAGCCUUAUAAGUGUGUACUUUACCAUCCAUGUCGGUCUUCUUCUUGAAGACCCAUUUGCACCCUACUGUCUUACGACCUGGUACAUUUUCAACCAAGUUCCAAACUUGAUUGUCAUACAUGGAUUGUAUCUCGCUAUCCAUAGCCUCUUUCCAUUUAGCAGACUCGGGGCCUGCCAUGGCUUCCUCGUAGCUGUUAGGGUCAUCUUGACUUACUAGUGUCUCAUCACUAAUAAGUGUCUCACCUUCUGCAGUAAUAUGGAAUCCAUAGUAAUGCUCAGGUGCACUCCUAACUCUCGUGGAACGUCUCAGAGGUACAGAUUUGUCAAUUGGCUCAACAGGAGUUUCCUCCUCAAGUUGAGGGCUAGAGUUUGAAGUUCCUUCACCGCUUGAUUCUUGAAUUUCUUCAAGAUCAAUUUGCCUCCCACUGUCUCCUUGGCUUAUAAACUCUCUUUCUCGAAAGACUCCUCUUCUUGCUACAAAGACCACAUUGUCACUAGGUCUGUAGAAGAGGUAACCAAAGGAUCGCUGUGGGUAACCGAUGAAAAUACACCUCUCGCUUCGAGGUUCGAGCUUAUCAUGAGUCUCGCGUCUCACGAAAGCCUCGCAACCCCAAAUCUUGAUGUGGUCUAGUUUAGGUACUUUACCAGUCCACAUCUCGUGAGGAGUUUUGGCAACUUUCUUUGUAGGGACUAGAUUAAGAAUAUGGGCGGCAGUCUCUAAGGCAUACCCCCAAAAUGAGAUUGGUAGCGUAGCUCGACUCAUCAUGGAACGAACCAUAUCCAACAAGGUUCGAUUACGCCUCUCAGCUACACCAUUCAACUGUGGUGUCCUGGGAGGUGUCAAUUGUGAGACAAUCCCACAUUCCCUAAGAUAGUCGAGGAACUCUGAACUAAGAUACUCACCACCUCGAUCGGAUCGAAGCAUCUUAAUGUUCCUGCCCAAUUGAUUCUCGACUUCCUGUUUAAAUUCCUUAAACCUUUCGAAAGUCUCUGACUUAUGCUUGAUUAAGUAGACAUAUCCAUAUCUACUGUAAUCAUCAGUAAAAGUCAAAUAAUAACGAUUAGCAUCCCUUGUGGCAUGUUUGAAGGCUCCACACACAUCCGUGUGUACAAGAUCCAACAAACCUUCACUCCUCUCACACGAACCUAUGAAGGGUGACUUUGUCAUUUUUCCAAGUAAGCAUGAUUCGCAACUAUCAUCUGACCUUAGGCCAAAUGACUCCAGGACUCCAUCCUUUUGGAGUUGGCCUAUGCGUUUCUUGCUUAUAUGUCCAAGACGACAAUGCCAUAAUGAUGCUUUAUCCAAGUUAUUACCAUUAGUAGAAUCAAUACACAAUACAUUAUUUCCUAAGUUAUCUACAACAGACACAACUUCAUACACACCAUCACAAGGUAAUGCUUUAAAAUAAAACACAUUAUUAAAGAAAGCAUUUAUUCCACCAAUUUCAUUAUCAAAAGAAAAGGUAAAACCUUGUUUAUACAAAGCAUGAAAGGAAAUAACAUUUCUUGCCAUUUCUGGCGAAUAACAACAUUUAUUCAAAUCUAAAGUAAAUCCACUACUAAGCAACAAAGUAUAAACUCCAAUCUUGGUGACAGGUGAAACUUUCCUAUUCCCCAUGAUCAAGUUUAUCUUUCCAUGCUCCACAUUCUCACUUCUUCUUAGUCCCUGCAAUUCAGAACAAAUAUGAAUACCGCAACCGGUAUCAAGGACCCAAGAGUUAGAAUAGAGAGAAUUAUUAGAUGAUAUAGUGUAAAUACUUGCAUGGUUGGGUUUAACUUUCCCAUCCUUCAAAUCUUGAUGGUACUUUGGACAGUUACGCUUCUAGUGCGACUUUUCAUGGCAAUAGAAGCAUUCAGCUUCUUUGGGAUCAGAAGAAGGUGUAACGAAGCCUUUCUUGUUUCCGCUAGAAGAGGAGCCAUCAAGAGUCUUACUCUUGGUACCCUUCGAAGGGUUCUUCCUCUUCUUCCCUUUCCCUUUCCUGAUUGCCAGGACAGUUGCUGAGUUUGGAGUAGUAGCAGGAGUGGUCACAACCGACUUACCUUUAAGACCUGAUUCUGCGGUCUUUAGGAGUCCCUGAAGUUUGCUAAGUGUAACUUCCUCCUUAUUCAUGUGGUAUGUCAUGCGGAAUUGAUCAUAACACGAAGGUAAGGAGUGCAAAAUAAUAUCUAUUGCUAACUCCUUAGGGAAGUUCACAUUCAACUUCAUCAAUCGAUCCACAUACCUUUGCAUUUUCUGCAUGUGGCUUGUGAUGGGUUUGCCAUCUUUCAUUCGGGUUGUGAUCAUAGAGGAGAUGAUUUCAUAUUGCUCUUGACGAGCACUCUGAUGGUAGCGGUCCAUCAAAUCCUGGUGCAUCUCAAAAGGAUAGUAGUCCUCAUAGGACUUUUGGAGCUCGGCUGUCAUGGUGGCCAUCAUGAUGCAUGCCACUUUGGUAGCAUCUCUUUCAUGAACCUCAUAUUCAGCAAGCUCCUCAGGAGUAGCAGUUGGCUCAGGCACCUUGAGCUCCUUGUCAAGAACAUAUUCCUUGUUCUCGUAACGAGUGACCAUCCUGAUGUUUCUGAUCCAGUCAGUAAAGUUGGAUCCAUCAAAGAUGACUCUCCCACAAAGGUUCAUGAGAGAGAAGGAGCCAGUAGGGUUUGAGCCAGGAGUAGCAUUGUUGGAAGACAUCUGAAAAGAAGAAAAAAAGUUUAGUUUAGAUAUAGGGAUAGUCCUUAAUAAAACACCCAAAUGUAAUAUUAAGGCUAGGAUCCAAUCACAAUAUAUUAUAACCUAGAAGAGGGAUGCCGUAAUCCAAGUUAUAACAUAUUUGAAAGGUAGGUGAAUGACGAUUCACCAAUUUCCACCAUGAAAACGAAAUAUAAAUUAUUAGGUUUUAUUUGGUUUUUAGAAAUUCCUAGAUUCUUUGAGAUUCAUUGAACUUUUCAAUGGCAUGUUUCAAUCUCGAGUGUGCCCUUCAUGUUUUGUGACUGGGAUACCGAGGAUCACAAAACAAGGUGUGAAGUAACCAUGCAAAUUACUUGGUACCCUUAAUGUUUUUCACUUAAUCGUUGUGCCGGUAAACCACACGCGCUCCUUCCGACCUCAUGAAAAACCUUAAGUCACCCUUUGCCUUCCUUGUUAAGUCCAAGUUAGUGUGCCGGUAAACCACACACGCUCCACCAACGACUUAAACAAGGUGCAAAGUGUAAUUUCAUGGAUUAGCACCUUAUUCACAUUUUUCCUAAAGUAACUAAGAUUGGGAAUUUAUAAAACAUUUAGUUACUUUAUAAUAAUCAUUAUACUUUUAAUGAGAAUUUAUAAGUCAUUGUCCUACCCGUUCGGCUAACGACCCUCCACCAGUCAAGCAAGCGGUGGGUGAGAGUGGACACCCAUUAAGUUGCCAUUUUAUAGGCAACAACCUUAUACCCACCUUAUAGACCGGCUUCGUGAAUGAGGCGUACUAGCGGUAAGACUGACUUUACUCUUAUACAUAUAUAUAUUAUUAACUUAUAAUAUUAUAAAGUAUAAGGGUUGAAUUUUAACUUUUAAAAUUCUAAGGGUUGGAACUAAAGUUUUAAUCAAGACUUUACUUGUUCCAAAACUUGAGGGCAAGUUUUGUAAACUUUCAAGACUUUUCAUUUCUUGUAACUUAUGAGUUAAUUAGAGUAUUAAAAAUGAAGACUCUUCAUUUUUCUAACUCUUGUGUUCUUUUAAUGGUUUUAAUUCAAGUGUGACUCUUGGUUUUCCAUAACUUGAGGACAAGUUAUGGACUCCAUUAAAACACAUUAUGAUCAAGAAUUAAACUACCAAGUAGGUUACAAGUAAUUCCUAUGAUCAUCUAAAUUCAUAAGAUCAAGAACAUGAAUAUCCAUAUCAAAGUUUCAAGACCAUAUGAACACAUAUAAUCAUGAAAAAUUGAUAUUUGCCAUUGUAAAUGGAUUAGAACAAACAUUACACCAUCUAAAACAAGUUUUAUAACACCAAAACAGUUUAGGGUAAUGUUUCUAGUCCAUUUCCAGCAACAAAAGUCGAAAAUCUGCAUUCUGUGGCUCCUACUCGCCUAGUGCACGAACCUACUCGGCGAGUAGGUUGAAGAUACACAUGAACUCGGCAAGUCCCCCUAUGGACUCGGCGAGUUCAUCAGGCGGACAACAAGUUUUUCGACUUGUUUCACCUUUUUAGCACAAAUAACAAACAAACAAGCCUAGGCUCUGAUACCACUGAUGGGUUUUGAGCAUUCUAACACUUCCUAAGUGUACAUGCAACCCUAAUAACCUUGGAUCUAUGUUUGUCUAAUUAUCAUGCAAAGUUGAUUUCCAAGGCUAUGAUCCUAUCUAGCAUACAUGGGGAACAAUUUUAACUUGAAUAAAAGAUAGAACUACAUACCUUGUUGUUGAUUUUGAUCCUUGAAACCUUGUGAGCCUAGCACCCCAAGUGUGAUACCUCAAAUGCUUCACACAACACCAAAUGCUAUGGAGUAAACUUGGAGAGAAAGUAUAACACUCUAAAAAUCGGCUCUAGCCCUCAAGCAUUCAUGUGUAGCCGAUUUUGGGAGAAACAUGAGCUUUAUGUAGUGUUUUUGACACAUCUAGGGUUACACCAUGUAAACCCUAAUGUGUCAUGACUCUUCAUUUCCAUGACCCAUGGGUUUGUAACUCCCAUGGAACCUCCAUGGAGCAUCCAAUGGGUUUAACCCAACUUGAUUAUCCAUGGAGCCUCUUAGCUCACUAUAUAAGUUAUGGAUGAUUUACAUAAUCAACCCAUAUAUUUAAUUAGUUAUCUUUUGAUCACUUAAUUAAUUCUAAAAUUAAUUCUUGGUCAAACUAAUUAAAUAAUAUUAUUAAUAUAUUAGAGCUUAUAAUAUAUUAAUAAACCACAAGUGUUAUUUCUCUCAUUUAGUCUAUCCAAUUGCAUGGUCCCAUGCAACCCAAAUGGACCAUGCCGGGUCGGAUCAAGUACAUACCAGAAAUAGUUAUGGACUUAGACAUCUUAUCCAACAAUUAUAUGAACAGAUACUAUUACAUACAAUUACAAGAGAUACAAUUACAAGAGAGACAAUUUUAGAGAUACUAUUACAUAGAUACUAUUAUGUAGAUACUAUUACAUAUGUUACGGGACUUAGCAUUCCACACCCAAGGCUGUUAGCUACAGUAGGGAAAAUGUACAUCGACGGGCGUCUACGAUUGUACUUUUCGGCGAGUUACCACGUCGUGAAUAUCCUAGUACAAAAGGAUACAAUUUCAGUUAUUAUAUUAUUUUCCUUAUUACCUUUACUUUGUGUCACAUUCACAUAAUCGAUGAGGUAGAUUAGAUUUGAAUAAUAAUAGUUGUAGAAGGGAAAAACCUUCACUUAUGUAGAGGUUCAAACCUUCAAAACAGUCGAGUCUUGGUAGAAGACUACAUUUUAUACUAGUAGAAAAUAUGGGAUUUUCUAGGGUUUUCAUACUUAUACAAACUUUUCUUCAAACAUUUACAAGUCUUUUCUUUACGGUUUUACAAAUCAAAGACAUUAAAACACUUAUGAAUUCACCAGCUUUAUUGCUGAUACUCGCUUUCAAAAUAACUUGUAUUCUCAGGUCACAAAUAGACAGGUACGGCGACCAGGUUUUGUGAAGACGGAGCAGUCAAGACUCAUCUUUUAUUUUGAUUAUUCAUUAUGUUGUUUUAUACUAUUAAAGAACACACUUGUAUUUAAAAUUAUACUAUUAAUGCAAUGGAUGAUGUUGUUGCUUGUUUACUACUUUGCAUUGUUGUGAUACAUUACAUGACGUACUCCGCCCUAGAACGUUUCCGUCGUUCUCGGUUUUGGUGUGUGACAGAUUGGUAUCAGAGCAUUGUUUAUAGUGAAUUGAGUAUAUCAACCCAUAAAAUAUAUACAGACUAUAAAUACAAUGGGAUUAAAAUACUCUGACCAAGAGUUUAUACUUUUAAAUAAUAAAAUAUUUAACUAAGUAUACAUGCCUGCAUUCAUACUAAAAUCAGUGUCACAAUGACAAAAACAAAAGUAUUACGAUUGUUGAAUAUCACAAGUGAGCUUGGGGAUGUAUGGUCAAUCCUAGGAAUGACAUAGCCUGAUCAACUAUGCUGGUCUGAGGAGUGAUUAGCAUAUGCCCAAGAAUGGUUGUGAUAUGGCAACAAGUCUAAAAACUUACCAACACUACCACAAUGAGAACUCUAGAACAAAACAUAAGUCUAGAAUACUAUAGGAGUAUUUUGUGUUACUAUAAUUACUUAUUUGAAAACUAAAAAGAUCUUCAUUACUAAGUUGAUAGUUUCUUAGUAGAUACGCUAAGGUUAUAUGUAACUAGGAUGUCAUAGACUUAGAAUCUGUGUAAUUUUGCUUUACCCCUGUUCCUUGUGAAUUUGGAGAUAAGGUCACUUAUUCGAAGGCCUAUCCUGUCUUGAUUACAUAUAACUAGUAUGCGCUUUACAAAUAGUGAUGUAACUAAUGAAGAUUAUCUAAUAAUUAUCUAGUUAGUUCGUCUAAUAAUUAUAUCCUUACCCCAAUUCUCGUGUAGAUAACAUGGUUGGACUCCAUCCCCACGGCAACCCGUACAUUCUGAAAGAAGGCAAUGCUGGAUAGUUUGGAGAAGAACCAGAGGAUGAUCAUCCAAUCCCUUUAAAUGAUCACUAUGCUGAAGACCUUUCGGAUGAUGCUAACUCCAAACCUGAAGUUGAGAACCUAACCCCGGUAGCCCCCAAUCCAAAUCCUAACCCUCGUCCGACUUUUCAUGGCCCGACGCCUCCUUGGGUGGAAUGCUUAGAAACAUGGAGCGAAGAGCAAGAUCAACCUAUGCCAUUUAAUGGAGACCGAAACUUCCACAACCUAAGUAAAGGAGGCUCGGCAGACAGAGUUCUGCAAAUCCUGGUCCGUAGAGUUGCCCUAAACGAGAUUUAGGGCAGGACAGCUCUCCAUCGUAUCGCAGAGGUUGAUGCCAAUGCAGGAAUGCAUACCAUCCGCACCAAUCGCCUUGAAAAUGCUCGUGAGAGAUAUGAGAGAGACCAUGAGACUCUGUUGUAACCACUAACUGAAACACGAGCCGAAGUCAUAGAACUCCGAGUACGCCAGAGGGUGUACGAAAGACACCUGCUUGAUAUGGAACGUCAACCGGCUAAACUGAGGGUUCACUAAAGGAAUGACCACCACCAGUAGUAGAUGCCUUACUUUCUUUCCCUAUUAAAAGGAAUCGUUUUCCUGUCUAUGUCCUAUGUGGCAUUUUUCUAUGAAACUAUCUUGUACUGUUGGUACUUUUAGUUAGGCCUUUAUGCGGCCAAAACUUUUCUACUCCUGAUAUGAUGUAAGACCUUCUAGAAGGUCACUUUUUCCCAAACUUAUUACAUCAUGAAUAUCAAUGAUAUUGAAAGUCGGCUAAUUUUUGUGUCACUCUUUGUUCAAAUACUUUCAUCAUACUAUCGUUGAGGUCUAUCUGAAACCCACUCUAGUCAAGUUAUUGGAUUCGGGUAAUUUAGCUCAGGGAUCAUUCCCAAUUCUCUUUCAAAGGUUGGAUCAUGUUGUCCACCAACCAAUGGUACCCCGGUUUGGAAGACAAACGUCUUGUAACCAUUCUAUGAACUUACCUCUAUUCUUUACUAGGAAUGCAUCAUAGGGAUGUAGGUCAAACCCUCGAGAACAUACUUCUACUCUUUACAUGAAUGAUCGAAAUACAUCUAGGUUCAACCAUAAUCACUCACGCACACAUUUUCUUAUCGUGUAACAGAAUCAUGUCGUCGAAGAAAAUUAAACAACCCAUCAACCAAACACCAACUCUUCAGAUUGAUGCAGCUACCUUUCAAGCUGCAGUCUCAGCUGUCGUGACAGCUGUCAUGACUCACCUAAACGCUAACAAUGCAAAUGUUAGUGGGAUGGUUAUCAAUAAUUCCAAUCAAAGUAACAACCAAGUACAUAAACGAGUAACAAACUACCACGACACUCCAAAUCUCAAACCCAAGAGUAACAAACGAAGGUUCUGGGAAAGAUUUAAAGGCAAAUCACCCCAAGGAACGAACAAAAGACAACCACCUGUGGCAGCCUUCACGGCCACGACGUCUGUAACUCCUACUACCAUCCCUACUAGCAUCCUGGAUAUCCCUAACCCAGCCAGACAGUAUGCUUGAAACCUACCGAAGUGCAAUAAGUGCGGCUUCCAUCACCUAGGUAGUUGUCAUCUGUUACACUGCAAGAACUGCAACAAGAACGGACACACUACCCGCUUUUGUAGGACUCAGAUCCAACACAUAAUUUCAACCACCAAUGUUGAAAUUUCUCGGAUAUGCCAUCUAUGUGGUGUAAUGGGACAUUUCAAAAGGGAUUGCUCAACAAAGAAGAGUGACGGAAGAACAUGAGGAGUUUGACUUCAGAAUGGCAAAAGGCAACAAAGGAACCUACUUUAAUAUAGGAACACUUCCAAUCAGCAGUAUUUAAGUAUACUUUCAAAUGUUAAAAAGUAGUGCAACUCUAGUCUUAUCUUUUGCGAGAUUCCGUCAGUCAAGGAACCUCUUGUUGCCUAUACUUGCCUUUUGUAGUAUACGUUGUUCGCAACAGUAGUCUAGUAGUUAAUCUAAAGUACUGAAACUUUGUUAAAGGUUGCACUGUUAUGUUUUGUCUAUAACGCCUUUAUGAUCUAAUAACGCCUUUAUUUUCCAAGUGAGUCCGAUAUUAUCAUAAAACUUGAGUCAACUCAAUCCUCACAAUACCAGUUUUGUGCGUACAUCUCUUUCUCCGUAAUUGCCUUUCUAUCAAAGCCAUCAUUCCAGAACUCUGAGGUACUCAUGCAUAGAGUACCUUAUGUUAUGUAUCCGUCCCGAAGAAACCUCAGCCAACCUCCCCUGAAUACCACUCGUACAGUAUGUCAAGUUCAAUACAAAGAUCCUUACGGUUCUGAAGAAUGUAUACACAAGGGUGGUAUAUAAUCAAGGUUCUACAUGUUUAGAAUUGAUGAUUCCGCUUUAACUUCUUUUCCUUGUUUCGAUGUGAGCUUAAAGAAGAAUCAUUUAUUCGACUACCUUUUCAAUCUUAAUUAUAUACGACUCGUAUACACGAAACUGUGAUUGAUGAACCAUGUAUGACUUCUGAUGUGAACUUCAGGAUGGAGACUGCCCAAGACUACAAGUAAUCGCAUCGACAUGCGAACAAACUUAGAACCCAAUACUACCCCUGUAACCAGAUCUCCCUUCAGUCUAACACCUACAGAGAUACAAGAACCGUUCGAACAACUUAACGACUACUCAGCAAUGGAAUUGGGAGACCAAGCUCCUCCCCUGGAGAGCUCCGGUCUUAUUCUUCAAGAAGGUAGACAGAUUGUUUAGUAUGCGCGCCGACUACAGAGACCUCGACAAAAUUUCCAUUAGGAAUCAUUACCCUCUACCUCACAUAGAUGGAUCGUUUGACCAGCUGCAAGGAACAAAUUACCCUUCGAAAAUGGAUCUGAGAUCCGAGUAUCACCAGUUACGAGUGUUAAGAGGAAGAAUGUCCCGAGGACGGCCUUCCGAACUCAAUACAGACGCUACAAGUCCGUAGUGAUACCUCUUAGAAAAGACCAAUGCGCCCAUAGUAUUCAUGAACUUGAUAAAAUAGGGUAUGUUGUCCUUCGAUCAGUUCGUCAUUGUCCUUGUAAAUGACCUACUUAUCUACUCUCGUAGUAAGAAAGAGCAUAGAAGCAUCCACGACUCAGCCUACCCCGCGAGCUCAGUAACGUAUAUUCUACCUUCCACGCCUCGAACUUGAAAAAGUGCCUUUCCAUCAGGACUCUUGUAAUCCCACUAGACGAGAUCAAAAUCAACAAGAGCCUCAACUUCAUGGAAGAAUCGUAGUGACCAUGAACUGAGAGGUCAAGCAGACGAAGCAAAGCCGCGACCCAUUAGUGAAGUUUCUCUGGAAUGCCAAGCGAGGAACUAAAUUCACUUGGGAGUGUGAGGAUCAAUCGAAACUGAAUUAUCCUCAUCCCUUUACAUGGUUAUUCGUAACUACUUCCUUACCUAAACUCUAAUUUCGGGACUAAAUUCCCUCUAACGGGGGGGAUGAUGUGACAACCUGAAAUUUCUUUCUUGUACAGGAGACCAAUUGAAUCCUAGUUAAACUCGUUUUGCUAGCUUUUAACACUGUUUAGAGCCUAAUGGAGUGUUCUAAACCUAAUACAAUUAAGGUAGGAACCUAGAAAUGGGAUAACAUGAUGCAUAUCAAGCAAAAUUGGGCCAAACACUCCAAAACAUGGAGUGUGCGGCCGCUCACCCAUCCCAGCCACACACUCACACCUAUAUAUACCACACUUAGUCAUUUUCAACACUUUUCCCACUUCUUCAAAGCUAGAACUCGAAAUCCUCUCAAGUAUCAUCCAACUUUUCACUCCAAUCUUCAAACAAGUAAGUGAUUCAUCCCUUGAUUGAUUAUUACAUGACCAUAACUAGCCUUCUUCCUCACUUAGAUCCAUGAAAACACGUUUUUGGUGUAGAUCUUCAAGAACACCAAGAACACACACUAAGUUUUGGAUCCUAAUCACCCCUUUCAAGCCUCUAUAACGUGUGUAUACUUGUUAUACCUCGUUAUAUGUUAAGAACACUUGAUGAUGUGCUUGAAAAACUAGAGUUCAUCAUCUUCAUGAAGGGUGUGCGGCCGCACACCUUCAUAGUGGCCGCAUACACCCUUUUUUGGUCCCCAAAUGGCAAUAAACUCCAUAUAAGGCUAGAGCAUGAAGUGAGAAACCUUCCUGGAUGAGUUCUAAGACCUUGAAAUAUGUUUUAACACACUUCAUAGGGUGUGUGCGGCCCACACACAUCCUGGCCGCACACUCUGGCCGCACACACACUAAACCUUUGGUUUUGUGGCCUUACACUUCAAUAUAGGACCAUACAUCCCUUAUGUGCAACCAUAUGUGUUGGUAACACUUAGUUCUAA